AUUGAACGCUGGCGGCAGGCCUAACACAUGCAAGUCGAGCGGAUGAAGGGAGCUUGCUCCUGGAUUCAGCGGCGGACGGGUGAGUAAUGCCUAGGAAUCUGCCUGGUAGUGGGGGAUAACGUCCGGAAACGGGCGCUAAUACCGCAUACGUCCUGAGGGAGAAAGUGGGGGAUCUUCGGACCUCACGCUAUCAGAUGAGCCUAGGUCGGAUUAGCUAGUUGGUGGGGUAAAGGCCUACCAAGGCGACGAUCCGUAACUGGUCUGAGAGGAUGAUCAGUCAACAUGGAACUGAGACACCGGCCAGACUCCUACGGGAGGCAGCAGUGGGGAAUAUUGGACAAUGGGCGGAAGCCUGAUCCAGGCAUGCCGGGUGGGUGAAGAAGGUCUUCGGGUUUGAAAGCACUUUAAGUUGGGAGGAAGGGGAGUAAGUUAAUACCUUGCUGUUUUGACGUUACCAACAGAAUAAGCACCGGCUAACUUCGUG
This 484-nucleotide ribosomal RNA is filed under the name uncultured bacterium. RNAcentral describes it as "partial 16S ribosomal RNA". It matches the Rfam family "Bacterial small subunit ribosomal RNA", at positions 30 to 507 of the family's 1533-position model. The record is from RNAcentral.